Symphalangus syndactylus (siamang) is the source of this 1237-nucleotide long non-coding RNA. RefSeq lists it as uncharacterized. Lineage: Eukaryota; Metazoa; Chordata; Mammalia; Primates; Hylobatidae. The record is from RefSeq and is a predicted model, not a curated record.
CGGGAGCGCCAGGGCUCUGGCGGCGGCCUCCCUGGGGGAUUUGCCGAGCCGGGCGGGCGGCGCGCAUUGCCUGGGCCGGCCGGCCGCCUCCUCCGCCUCCCUCCCGCCUGCCCGGGUCGCCGGCCCCCGUGCCCCCACCCCUCCUCUGCCCUUCCUGCCGCCUGGGAGCUCGGCUUGCGGCUCCGGGCAGCCCGGGAGCCCAGUGUCUUGUUUGAUGUGGCCUCCCGCCCCCUCAGCCCUUCCCGCGUCCCGGAGGCCUGACGCACCGUUCUCAGACACUUCAUUCCUGCCUCCCAGCUCCCCACUGAGAUAAUGUUGUCAAUGAUUUCGCCAGAUCUCGUCCCGGCUGAGAUUCAGUGGUUCCUGACUCUGGGUGACCUUGGGCAAGCCCCCCUCAUUCUUUCAUUGUGGAACACACGCGCAGUGUCAGACACUGUGUUAAACCCUGGGAUUUCCACGAUGAGAGAUACAGUGGCGGCCUGCAAGAAGUUGACAGUAAACUGCAGGGACAGACAGACGCUGAUUUUCUGAUUGAUGACUGGACAUUCCUUUAUUUUUCCUUUCUUUUUUGAGUUAGGUGGUGGCCUGAGAGAUCAGGAGGACAGAAACAAAAUAUGAAACCACACUUGUAUGGAUAACAGUAUUGCUGGUCUGCCUGGGUUUACAGCAGUAUCAGAGUGGUUUGUGGGUUUGGUUUAAAGCUACAGAAAGGAGAGAGCAAGAGAAGAAGAAAAAAGGUAUUUUGCCCGAGGACGUGAAGCUUUUUUUCUCCCUUUUCCUCCGCAUGACUGACUUUCUCACACUCAGAUUCCCUCCAGCCUGCCAGAGACGUGGUAGCUGCCUUGCCAAGAGCUAUCCUGGGAGGGCUGUUGAAAGAGCUUUGAGGCUGCAGCCAGCUUCCAGCAGUCCGAGUGCCCAGAAACAGCACAUUCCAGGCCGGUUGUGCAUGCAUGUUUGCUGGGGCGCGUGCCAGGUGGGGGUGCUGGGAAGGGGGGGCAACUAGAGGUCACCUUUGUAAUGAUCACCUUGCUGCCCCCGUUCUGUGGCAUGUGCUGACUGGUAGCUUGAGAACCCUCUACUAGAAUCAGUAUCAUAGUCUUUCUAGAUAGCAGUCUGUAUAUGCUGAUCGCAGAAUUCAUAACCAGGAUUUUUUUUUUUUACCUGUAAAGCCCCUGAAAUGGAAUUUCAACAUGUGUCUGUAUGUGCAUAUUUAACAGGAGCUUAAUAAAUAUUUUCC